GCUGGGUGUGGUAGCGUGUGCCUGUAAUCCCAGCAGCUGGGAAGGCUGAGGAAGGAGGAUCACAAGUUCAAAGCCAGCUUCAGCAACCUGGAGAGGGGUGGGAGGAAGAGACAUCUUUACUUUU
This 124-nucleotide small RNA is filed under the name Marmota monax (woodchuck). Lineage: Eukaryota; Metazoa; Chordata; Mammalia; Rodentia; Sciuridae. The record is from RNAcentral.